RNAcentral lists this ribosomal RNA (301 nucleotides) under uncultured bacterium. RNAcentral describes it as "partial 16S ribosomal RNA". It matches the Rfam family "Bacterial small subunit ribosomal RNA", at positions 509 to 807 of the family's 1533-position model. The record is from RNAcentral.
CAGUCGCCGCGGGAAUACAGAGGGUGCGAGCGUUAAUCGGAUUUACUGGGCGUAAAGCGUGCGUAGGCGGUUCGGAAAGAAAGAUGUGAAAUCCCAGGGCUUAACCUUGGAACUGCAUUUUUAACUCCCGGACUAGAGUAUGUCAGAGGGGGGUGGAAUUCCACGUGUAGCAGUGAAAUGCGUAGAUAUGUGGAGGAACACCGAUGGCGAAGGCAGCCCCCUGGGAUAAUACUGACGCUCAUGCACGAAAGCGUGGGGAGCAAACAGGAUUAGAUACCCCCGUAGUCCCUGUCUCUUAUAC